This 253-nucleotide ribosomal RNA is filed under the name uncultured bacterium. Its description in RNAcentral is "partial 16S ribosomal RNA". It matches the Rfam family "Bacterial small subunit ribosomal RNA", at positions 524 to 776 of the family's 1533-position model. The record is from RNAcentral.
UACGUAGGGUGCGAGCGUUAAUCGGAAUUACUGGGCGUAAAGCGUGUGCAGGCGGUGAUGUAAGACCGAUGUGAAAUCCCCGGGCUUAACCUGGGAACUGCAUUGGUGACUGCAUUGCUGGAGUAUGGCAGAGGGGGGUGGAAUUCCACGUGUAGCAGUGAAAUGCGUAGAGAUGUGGAGGAACACCGAUGGCGAAGGCAGCCCCCUGGGCCAAUACUGACGCUCAUGCACGAAAGCGUGGGGAGCAAACAGG